This 640-nucleotide ribosomal RNA is filed under the name Staphylococcus warneri. RNAcentral describes it as "bacterial SSU rRNA". It matches the Rfam family "Bacterial small subunit ribosomal RNA", at positions 57 to 680 of the family's 1533-position model. Lineage: Bacteria; Bacillati; Bacillota; Bacilli; Caryophanales; Staphylococcaceae. The record is from RNAcentral.
GCAGUCGAGCGAACAGAUAAGGAGCUUGCUCCUUUGACGUUAGCGGCGGACGGGUGAGUAACACGUGGAUAACCUACCUAUAAGACUGGGAUAACUUCGGGAAACCGGAGCUAAUACCGGAUAACAUAUUGAACCGCAUGGUUCAAUAGUGAAAGGCGGCUUUGCUGUCACUUAUAGAUGGAUCCGCGCCGUAUUAGCUAGUUGGUAAGGUAACGGCUUACCAAGGCAACGAUACGUAGCCGACCUGAGAGGGUGAUCGGCCACACUGGAACUGAGACACGGUCCAGACUCCUACGGGAGGCAGCAGUAGGGAAUCUUCCGCAAUGGGCGAAAGCCUGACGGAGCAACGCCGCGUGAGUGAUGAAGGUCUUCGGAUCGUAAAACUCUGUUAUCAGGGAAGAACAAAUGUGUAAGUAACUGUGCACAUCUUGACGGUACCUGAUCAGAAAGCCACGGCUAACUACGUGCCAGCAGCCGCGGUAAUACGUAGGUGGCAAGCGUUAUCCGGAAUUAUUGGGCGUAAAGCGCGCGUAGGCGGUUUUUUAAGUCUGAUGUGAAAGCCCACGGCUCAACCGUGGAGGGUCAUUGGAAACUGGAAAACUUGAGUGCAGAAGAGGAAAGUGGAAUUCCAUGUGUAGCG